RNAcentral lists this ribosomal RNA (447 nucleotides) under uncultured bacterium. RNAcentral describes it as "partial 16S ribosomal RNA". It matches the Rfam family "Bacterial small subunit ribosomal RNA", at positions 329 to 793 of the family's 1533-position model. The record is from RNAcentral.
UGCCAGACUCCUACGGGAGGCAGCAGUGGGGAAUAUUGCACAAUGGGGGAAACCCUGAUGCAGCAACGCCGCGUGAGUGAGGAAGUAUUUCGGUAUGUAAAGCUCUAUCAGCAGGGAAUAGAAAAGAAGGUACCUGAAAAAGAAGCCCCGGCUAACUACGUGCCAGCAGCCGCGGUAAUACGUAGGGGGCAAGCGUUAUCCGGAUUUAUUGGGUUUAAAGGGUGCGCAGGCGGCGUGUCAAGUCAGCGGUAAAAUGUCGGGGCUCAACCCCGGCCGGCCGUUGAAACUGGCGUGCUCGAGUUGGAGAGAAGUAUGCGGAAUUCGUGGUGUAGCGGUGAAAUGCAUAGAUAUCACGAAGAACCCCGAUUGCGAAGGCAGCAUACCGGCUCCACACUGACGCUGAGGCACGAAAGCGUGGGUAUCGAACAGGAUUAGAUACCCUUGUAU